Molecule: ribosomal RNA, 496 nt
Filed under: uncultured bacterium
Lineage: Bacteria
Description: partial 16S ribosomal RNA
Rfam family: Bacterial small subunit ribosomal RNA
Source: RNAcentral
GAUGAACGCUGGCGGCGUGCCUAAUACAUGCAAGUCGAGCGAACAGACGAGGAGCUUGCUCCUCUGACGUUAGCGGCGGACGGGUGAGUAACACGUGGAUAACCUACCUAUAAGACUGGGAUAACUUCGGGAAACCGGAGCUAAUACCGGAUAAUAUAUUGAACCGCAUGGUUCAAUAGUGAAAGACGGUUUUGCUGUCACUUAUAGAUGGAUCCGCGCCGCAUUAGCUAGUUGGUAAGGUAACGGCUUACCAAGGCAACGAUGCGUAGCCGACCUGAGAGGGUGAUCGGCCACACUGGAACUGAGACACGGUCCAGACUCCUACGGGAGGCAGCAGUAGGGAAUCUUCCGCAAUGGGCGAAAGCCUGACGGAGCAACGCCGCGUGAGUGAUGAAGGUCUUCGGAUCGUAAAACUCUGUUAUUAGGGAAGAACAAAUGUGUAAGUAACGAUGCACGUCUUGACGGUACCUAAUCAGAAAGCCACGGCUAUCUACGU